AGAGGGAGAGGCUGUAGGAUGGCAACUGAGCAGUCUUGAGAAACUAAAAAUCUAAUUGUGAAGAGAGGAUCCAUUUGGAGUAAGGCACAGAAGAGCCAUACAUACUUACAUAUUUGAGGAAGAGGUGCAGCUCCCUGUGAUCUUUGGGAUUGAUGGUUGCCUCAAACAGAGGAAAACAAUGGCUACUGAACAAACCUCUUAGCUGUCUCCACAGAAUGCUGUUCUGCCAACUCCUUCUCCAGUUCCCUCU
Molecule: long non-coding RNA, 250 nt
Organism: Emys orbicularis (European pond turtle)
Lineage: Eukaryota; Metazoa; Chordata; Testudines; Emydidae
Exons: 3
Source: RefSeq, a predicted model, not a curated record